This 640-nucleotide ribosomal RNA is filed under the name uncultured Parvibaculum sp. Its description in RNAcentral is "bacterial SSU rRNA". It matches the Rfam family "Bacterial small subunit ribosomal RNA", at positions 897 to 1533 of the family's 1533-position model. Lineage: Bacteria; Pseudomonadati; Pseudomonadota; Alphaproteobacteria; Hyphomicrobiales; Parvibaculaceae. The record is from RNAcentral.
AAACUCAAAGGAAUUGACGGGGGCCCGCACAAGCGGUGGAGCAUGUGGUUUAAUUCGACGCAACGCGCAGAACCUUACCAACCCUUGACAUCCCGGUCGCGAUUUCCAGAGAUGGAUCCUUCAGUUCGGCUGGACCGGAGACAGGUGUUGCAUGGCUGUCGUCAGCUCGUGUCGUGAGAUGUUGGGUUAAGUCCCGCAACGAGCGCAACCCUCGCCUUUAGUUGCCAUCAUUUAGUUGGGCACUCUAGAGGGACUGCCGGUGAUAAGCCGGAGGAAGGUGGGGAUGACGUCAAGUCCUCAUGGCCCUUACGGGUUGGGCUACACACGUGCUACAAUGGCGGCGACAAUGGGCAGCGAAGGGGCGACCCGGUGCAAAUCCCAAAAAGCCGUCUCAGUUCGGAUUGUACUCUGCAACUCGAGUGCAUGAAGGUGGAAUCGCUAGUAAUCGCGUAACAGCAUGACGCGGUGAAUACGUUCCCGGGCCUUGUACACACCGCCCGUCACACCAUGGGAGUUGGUUUUACCCGAAGCUGGUGCGCUAACCGCAAGGAGGCAGCCAACCACGGUAAGGUCAGCGACUGGGGUGAAGUCGUAACAAGGUAGCCCUAGGGGAACCUGGGGCUGGAUCACCUCCUUUAUG